Long non-coding RNA from Cervus elaphus (red deer), 127 nucleotides. RefSeq lists it as uncharacterized. NCBI's taxonomy places the organism in Eukaryota, Metazoa, Chordata, Mammalia, Artiodactyla, Cervidae. The record is from RefSeq and is a predicted model, not a curated record. The transcript has 3 exons.
AUUUUAAACAGAUCAUCAGGGACUCCCCUGGGGGUCCAGUGGCUAAGACUCCACACUCCCAAUGCAGGGGGCCUGGGUUCAAUCCCUGGCUGGAGAACUGAUCCCAAAUGCUAUAACUAAAGAUCCC